UUAUUCGAAGUCAGUCUGGACCAUUUCUAUUGAUCAACUCAUCAUUAAAAUUUCAAGGUUUUGUUCCAACAGUGACUUUAUGUUUAUAGUCAUUCAUCAGAUUUUAUUCAUUUUUACAGUUCCACCUGUUAACAAGACAGAAGAUAAUCCCUCUAACAAUGGGACAGAGAUUAAAGUUCCACCUGUUAACAAGACAGAAGAUAAUCCCUCUAACAAUGGGACAGAGAUUAAAGUUCCACCUGUUAACAAGACAGAAGGUAA
This is a long non-coding RNA of Colossoma macropomum (tambaqui), 261 nucleotides long. RefSeq lists it as uncharacterized. The record is from RefSeq and is a predicted model, not a curated record. The transcript has 5 exons. Lineage: Eukaryota; Metazoa; Chordata; Actinopteri; Characiformes; Serrasalmidae.